UCUGAAUCACUAUGGCAUGGUCUGUCAAUAAAUUACAGCAAAAGUGUAAAUGUGAAUUUUGUAAAAUCUCUUCCCAUGACUAAUCUAUUUGACUGUCUUAUCUGUACAUAGAGAAACAAUAACUUAUUAUUUUGAGUCACUGAUAUGUUCACUGACAGAAUUUUGAGAGCUGACUAAAACUAUUUGUUUGCCUAUAUGAAAAGUGUACACAUUUACAGCUUUGUUUCUGCUAGCUUGCAGGAAUUGUAACUUACAUAAAUGGUUGAAGACAGCUUAUUGGCCUUCAUGAGACUCAGAUAAAUGAGAGGAUCACACCUGUCGACAACAAACAAAGGUUUAAGAACUACUGAAUUUUCAGUCAGAAAUGAUCACACCGCCUGGUUGAAGUAUCAGUCUCCAUAUGCAAGUCAACAAAGCAGAGAGGAAACACCUGAUUGACAACAUGUGAGUCUCAAUUUCAACCUGUGACUGGGAAGACUACAACCAUCCUGAGCAAACUCUGAACUCAGUGACUUGUUACUCUCAACCCAGAACAAAAAUCGUUUUAUC
This is a long non-coding RNA of Poecilia latipinna (sailfin molly), 549 nucleotides long. RefSeq lists it as uncharacterized. The record is from RefSeq and is a predicted model, not a curated record. The transcript has 3 exons. NCBI's taxonomy places the organism in Eukaryota, Metazoa, Chordata, Actinopteri, Cyprinodontiformes, Poeciliidae.